GAUGAACGCUGGCGGCGUGCUUAACACAUGCAAGUCGAACGGAAAGGCCAGUGCUUGCGCUGGUACUCGAGUGGCGAACGGGUGAGUAACACGUGGGUGAUCUGCCCUGCACUUCGGGAUAAGCUUGGGAAACUGGGUCUAAUACCGGAUAGGACCAUUGGUUGGUGCCUUUGGUGGAAAGUUUUUUCGGUGUGGGAUGAGCUCGUGGCCUAUCAGCUUGUUGGUGGGGUAAUGGCCUACCAAGGCGUCGACGGGUAGCCGGCCUGAGAGGGUGUACGGCCACAUUGGGACUGAGAUACGGCCCAGACUCCUACGGGAGGCAGCAGUGGGGAAUAUUGCACAAUGGGCGCAAGCCUGAUGCAGCGACGCCGCGUGGGGGAUGACGGCC
RNAcentral lists this ribosomal RNA (388 nucleotides) under uncultured bacterium. RNAcentral's name for it is "bacterial SSU rRNA". It matches the Rfam family "Bacterial small subunit ribosomal RNA", at positions 28 to 416 of the family's 1533-position model. The record is from RNAcentral.